GGCCGUGGAGGCACUGACCCACUUACAGCUGCUUCCUUUAUUUUUGGCCAUUGGCCAACGCUCCCUCUUUAGGUAGCAGUGGGUCCCGAAAAGCACACUCAUCCCAGCCCUGCUAACAUGAGACAUUAGAUGGGGGUCACCGCUAGGCUUUAAUUUCCUGGGAGAGGGUUGUACCUAUCCAUAAACAAAGUUCCUUGUGGUCCAACAAAAGUUGCUCAAUGUAUUUAUUGGUUUAUUGAGACAGGGUCUUGCUCUGUUGGUCAGGCUGGAGUGCUGUGUGCCGUCAUGGACCUACCUGGCUCAAGCGAUCCACCUGUCUGUCUCUUGAGUAGCUGGGACCACAGGUGCACACCACCAUGCCCAGCUAAUUUUUUAUUUUGUAGAGAUGGGAUCUUGCUUUGUUGCUGAGGCUGGUGUUAAACUCCUGGGCUCAAGCAAUUCUCCCACCUUGGCCUCCCAAAGUGCUGGGCUUACAGGCAUGGAUCGCUGCUCCCAACCAUCUGAGGGCAUUUUUAGAGCUCUCCUCUAGACAUCAGGGUCUGGAGCAAGAGGCUCCAUCUACUUGGAAGAAAAUGUUCUCUCUAGCCCCGUCUGACUUAAAAGUGUGUCCCUCCAGGACAAGGAGCUCUUGCCAUUUUAUGGUUUGAUCCAAACAGGCUAAGGGGCAAAUUAUGUCCCACAAGAAUGAGAGAGAAGGCUGGCACUUCGUCUCCUUUAUCCAUUUGUCUUCACCUCCUCAGGCCACAGGGGUGCUUAACCACUUCAUCUUAAAAGUAUGUGGAGUGGGGCUGGGCACGGUGGCUCACCCCUGUAAUCCCAGCAUUUUGGGAGGCCAAGGCAGGAGGAUUGCUUGAGCCUGGGAGGUGAGGACAAGCCUGGGCAACAGAGGGGGACUCUCUCUCUACAAAAAAGUAGAAAAUUAGCUGGAUAUCGUGGCGUGCCCCUGUGAUCCCAGCUACUUAGAAGGUUGUGGGAGGAUCGCUUGAGCCCAGGAGGUCAAGACUGCAGUGAGCUGAGCUCAUGCCACUUAUACUUCAGCUUGGGUAACAGAGCAAGACUCUGUCUCAAACAAUGAAACAAACAACAAACAAAAUCUUUUGAAGCCCGCAUCAAGUCUUUUAACAAUUAAGGAGAGCAUUUAUCUUUAAAAUUAGACUUAUAUGCCUCUAAGAUAGGUGAGCAGUAACAAAAUUAAUUUUAGCUGGGAUUAUGCUGUGAUUACGUUUGGCUUAAACAGUAAUGAAAAUAAGUUUAGGCUGGGUGCGGUGGCUCAUGCCUGUCAUCCCAGCACUUUAGGAGGCUGAGGCAAGCGGAUCACCUGAGGUCAGGGGUUCGAGACAAGCCUGACCAAGAUGGAGAAACCCCGUCUCUACCAAAAAUACAAAAUUAGCCGGGUGUGGUGGCGCAUGCCUGUAAUCCCAGCUACUUGGGAAGCAGAGGACAAUCGCUUGAACCCAGAAGGCAGAGGUUGUGGUGAGCCGAGAUCUCGCCAUUGCACUCCAGCCUGGACAACAAGAGUGAAACUUCAUCUCAAAACAAUAAUAAGUUUACAACCUCUGAAUAUGUACCAAAUGGAGCCAGAGGUGGGGAGUAUUAGGACAAGCCCCGCACUGCAGAGCCCCCCAGCUCUCACUCGUGGACCGAGUGCAUGGGACACAGCCAUUCGGAAAGCUCUUUCUUUUGGAGUGGGACUGGGUGUUCUGGUUUUGGUUUGCUUGUUUUAUCAUUUUGUGACGUUGGCGCCUAUUCUUCAGUUUACAUCCUUGCCUUGCUUGCUUGAAGCUGGAGCACAAAUGUCCCGUCACCCUGUAACAACACAAGCAUGCGUCAUGCCUGCGAGGCUUAGCUUGGGAAGUGGAAUCUCCAGGAAUCUCCUUCUGUGGUCUGUCUGCCACUUCACACUGUUGCUCUCAUUUCAGUCACUGAGGCCCUGUCCCUUAUCCUCCAGGGACAUGGUGCUGUCCUAUGAGCUGUGGCUCCUUUGUGACUUUUACAUUGCUCCUCCAGAUACCAGUGGCAGUGGCAUUUGCAAAAAGGCUAUUUGAGAACAAAUAAGAAUAAAAUCAUCAAAGCGAAGAUGAUAGUAAAACAGCCCUCAUUUUUCAAAGUCCACUCUUUUUUCUGGUCCGUGCACUGCCAGCUCACUUCUCUGGCUAAAACCCGGGGGCGGCGGGGGUGUGUGUGGGGGGGUUAGUUUUGCAGAAAGUACUGAUGACACAGCUGUGCUCCAAGUUAACCAGAACACAAGAAUUGAAAAAGCCUGUGAGAUACUGGUGCUCGUGAUCGUAAGCUCCAAGUUGGGGGGUUUUCAGAUGAACACAAAAAGGGGGCUUCUCCCGUCCCAAGAUGAGUGAUAAAUGAGUCACUUCUCAUACUCGCACUCACACUCGCUCCAUUUCCUCUGGGAUGACUGUCUUCCGUCCUACAGCUGUGGCUGCUGUUAUUCGCCUGAUAAACUUCUUUCCCUCUCCCUCCCUCUGACACAGAAACACACACACACACACACACACACACACACACACACACACACACACACACACACACACACACACACCGCUGGAUCUAUAAGCAGUUUGUAACAGGAUGCACCAGUUCUAAUCACUUUUCAAGUCAAAUGAACGAGUCGCAGCUUCCUAAUAAGUGAAUGGCUGACAUAAGGAGUUAAUUCAGAAGCAACUCAAUAAUAUGGACAAUACUAGUGGACAAUAUUAGCAUACUGCUCGUACAACAAAGAUACUGUAGUCUCUUGUGCUGCCUCUUCAAGACGAAUUUGCUGAAAGUGGGUUGUAAUUAGAGAUGUUAAAAAAAACAUUGGCUGUGCGCGAUGGCUUACUCCCAUAAUCCCAGCACUUUUGGAGGCGAGGCAGGUGGAUCACCUGAGGUUAGGAGUUCGAGACCAGCCUGGCUAACAUGGCGAAACCCCAUCUCUACUAAAAAUACAAAAAAUUAGCCAGGCAUUGUGGUGGGCACCUGUAAUCUCAGCUACUUGGGAGGCUGAGGCCGAAGAAUUUCUUGAACCUGGGAGGUGGAGGUUGCAGUGACCCGAGAUCAUGCCAUUGCACUCCAGCCUGGGCAACAAGAGUGAAAUUGUGUCUCAAAUAAUAAUAAUAAUGAUAAUAAACUGAGAUUCAUCAUUCCUCCUCUCUCCUUUUCAUUGAGAACUUAAUAAAAAUGGAAAAUAUCCAUUACUUCUUGGGUUCUUGAUGAUCUCAAACCGUUAAGCCGGGAUGGAGGAUAGAUGUGGUCGGUAAACACUGAAAUCAAGAACCUUAAGGGGGCCAGAGCCCUGAGCAAAGCAGUGGGUCCAGAGUGCCCCUAACAUGCUUUUCCAUUGGAAGGAGCUGCUAUAAACUCCGAGGGUCCCGGGCCCUGCUGGAGACUCUGGGCUGGAAUCCUCUGUGAUAUUCUCCACAGUCGCCCAUUGUAUAGGUUUCCUUGGGGAUUCCUCAGAGUGGCUUCCAACCUUCCCACUGGCAGAGUCCCCUUUUCCCACUCCCACCCCUGCCAUGGGCCCCAUUUUUGUUUUUGUUUUUAUUUUUGAGACAGAGUCUUGCUCUGUCCUCCAGGCUGGAGUGCAGUGGUGCAAUCAUAGCUCAGUGCAGCCUCCACCUCCCGGGCUCAAGUGAUCCUCCCACCUCAGCCUCCUGAGCAGCUGGGCACUACAGAUGUGUGCCACCACCACAUUUGGCUAAUUUUUUUGUAUUUUUAGUAGAGA
Molecule: long non-coding RNA, 3715 nt
Organism: Gorilla gorilla gorilla (western lowland gorilla)
Lineage: Eukaryota; Metazoa; Chordata; Mammalia; Primates; Hominidae
Product: long intergenic non-protein coding RNA 2905
Exons: 1
Source: RefSeq, a predicted model, not a curated record